AAAUCCGCUUUGAUAAUGCUGGGAUGUGAUGGGGAGCGAAAUUUAGUAGCGAAGUAGCUGAUUUCACACUGUCAAGAAAAGUCUCUAUCGAGGUUAAAGGUACCCGUACCGCAAACCGACACAGGGGGGUGAGGAGAGUAUCCUAAGGCCAGCGAGAGAACUGUUGUUAAGGAACUCGGCAAAAUGACCCCGUAACUUAGGGAUAAGGGGUGCCACCAUCAGGUGGCCGCAGAGAAUAGGCCCAAGCGACUGU
RNAcentral lists this ribosomal RNA (253 nucleotides) under Clostridioides difficile. Its description in RNAcentral is "partial 23S ribosomal RNA". It matches the Rfam family "Bacterial large subunit ribosomal RNA", at positions 1538 to 1803 of the family's 2925-position model. The record is from RNAcentral. Lineage: Bacteria; Bacillati; Bacillota; Clostridia; Peptostreptococcales; Peptostreptococcaceae.